This 435-nucleotide ribosomal RNA is filed under the name uncultured bacterium. Its description in RNAcentral is "partial 16S ribosomal RNA". It matches the Rfam family "Bacterial small subunit ribosomal RNA", at positions 29 to 507 of the family's 1533-position model. The record is from RNAcentral.
AACGAACGCUGGCGGCAGGCUUAACACAUGCAAGUCGAACGCAUGCCUUCGGGCAUGAGUGGCAGACGGGUGGGUAACGCGUGGGAACCUACCCCUUGGUACGGCAUAGCUCCGGGAAACUGGAGAUAAUACCGUAUGUGUCCUGCGGGACAAAGAUUCAUCGGCAAGGGAUGGGCUCGCGUCGGAUUAGCUGGUUGGUGGGGGAACGGCCUACCAAGGCGACGAUCCGUAGCUGGUCUAACAGGAUGAUCAGCCACAUUGGGGCUGAGACACGGCCCAAACUCCUACGGAAGGGAGCAGAGGAGAAUAUUGGACAAGGGGGGCAAGCCUGGUCCAGCCGUGCCGGGGAAGUGAGGAAGGCCCUAGGGUUGUAAAGCUCUUUCACCGGUGGCGAUAGUGACGGUAACCGGAGAAGAAGCCCCGGCUAACUUCGUG